CUGGCGGCGUGCCUAACACAUGCAAGUCGAACGAGGUCCAUCCUUCGGGAGAAGACCUAGUGGCGAACGGGUGAGUAACACGUGAAGAACCUGCCCCGAAGACCGGGAUAACCCUCCGAAAGGAGAGCUAAUACCGGAUACCCCCACCGAACCGCAUGGUUUGGUGAGGAAAUGGAUUCCGCUUCGGGAGGGCUUCGCGGCCUAUCAGCUAGUUGGUGGGGUAACGGCCCACCAAGGCAUCGACGGGUAGCUGGUCUGAGAGGACGAUCAGCCACACUGGGACUGAGACACGGCCCAGACUCCUACGGGAGGCAGCAGUGGGGAAUCUUGCGCAAUGGGCGAAAGCCUGACGCAGCAACGCCGCGUGGGGGAUGAAGGCUCUCGGGUUGUAAACCCCUUUCAGCAGGGACGAAUCAAGACGGUACCUGCAGAAGAAGCCCCGGCUAACUACGUG
RNAcentral lists this ribosomal RNA (454 nucleotides) under uncultured bacterium. Its description in RNAcentral is "bacterial SSU rRNA". It matches the Rfam family "Bacterial small subunit ribosomal RNA", at positions 36 to 507 of the family's 1533-position model. The record is from RNAcentral.